RNAcentral lists this ribosomal RNA (485 nucleotides) under uncultured Microbacterium sp. RNAcentral describes it as "bacterial SSU rRNA". It matches the Rfam family "Bacterial small subunit ribosomal RNA", at positions 9 to 507 of the family's 1533-position model. The record is from RNAcentral. Lineage: Bacteria; Bacillati; Actinomycetota; Actinomycetes; Micrococcales; Microbacteriaceae.
GAGUUUGAUCCUGGCUCAGGAUGAACGCUGGCGGCGUGCUUAACACAUGCAAGUCGAACGGUGAAGGAGAGCUUGCUCUUUGGAUCAGUGGCGAACGGGUGAGUAACACGUGAGCAAUCUGCCCCUGACUCUGGGAUAACAGUUGGAAACAGCUGCUAAUACCGGAUACGAGACGUGACCGCAUGGUCGACGUUUGGAAAGAAUUUCGGUCAGGGAUGAGCUCGCGGCCUAUCAGCUUGUUGGUGAGGUAAUGGCUCACCAAGGCGUCGACGGGUAGCCGGCCUGAGAGGGUGACCGGCCACACUGGGACUGAGACACGGCCCAGACUCCUACGGGAGGCAGCAGUGGGGAAUAUUGCACAAUGGGCGAAAGCCUGAUGCAGCAACGCCGCGUGAGGGACGACGGCCUUCGGGUUGUAAACCUCUUUUAGCAGGGAAGAAGCGAAAGUGACGGUACCUGCAGAAAAAGCGCCGGCUAACUACGUG